Molecule: unclassified non-coding RNA, 329 nt
Filed under: soil metagenome
Description: partial contains 5.8S ribosomal RNA, internal transcribed spacer 2, and large subunit ribosomal RNA
Rfam family: 5.8S ribosomal RNA (bases 1-120)
Source: RNAcentral
GAUGAAGAACGCAGCGAAAUGCGAUAAGUAAUGUGAAUUGCAGAAUUCAGUGAAUCAUCGAAUCUUUGAACGCACAUUGCGCCCCUUGGUAUUCCGAGGGGCAUGCCUGUUCGAGCGUCAUUAUAACCCCUCAAGCUCAGCUUGGUGUUGGGGCCUGCUGCACUGGCAGCCCUUAAAAUCAGUGGCGGCGCCAUCUGGCUCUAAGCGUAGUAAUUCUUCUCGCUAUGGAGUCCUGGUGGAUGCUUGCCAUCAACCCCCAAUUUUUUUAUGGUUGACCUCGGAUCAGGUAGGGAUACCCGCUGAACUUAAGCAUAUCAAUAAGCGGAGGA